GCCUCUGUCAUUGGGGAGUAGCCAUCCUUUGCCCCCAAAGGAGUCCGCGUCAACAGACUUGGCGGUUCGGCCUUGCGCAGCAAGAGCCUGGAUCCCAUGGCGCGGACGGCAUUCAUGCAGGCGGCAUGCCCGCGCAUGGAGCAGCCCGGCGAGACCUUUGGCCGCAUCGCGUUCACCCUGGCCGGGCGAGCCGCGAUGUCGCGCCAUGGGUAUCUGCUCGUCCGGCUCGCCUAUAUGCUGCU
This 242-nucleotide small RNA is filed under the name Achromobacter sp. Its description in RNAcentral is "Manganese sequence". The stretch from base 1 to 131 matches the Rfam family "Manganese Mn2+ riboswitch aptamer (yybP-ykoY)". Rfam says of the family: This RNA was originally discovered in E. coli during a large scale screen and was named SraF. The family was later found to exist upstream of related families of protein genes in many bacteria, including the the yybP and ykoK genes in B. subtilis. The specific functions of these proteins are unknown, but this structured RNA element may be involved in their genetic regulation as a riboswitch. The record is from RNAcentral. Lineage: Bacteria; Pseudomonadati; Pseudomonadota; Betaproteobacteria; Burkholderiales; Alcaligenaceae.